UCCAGCUUGACGCUGGCAGUCUCGCUAGAGUGCCCAACUUAAUGAUGGCAACUAGCAACGAGGGUUGCGCUCGUUGCGGAACUUAAUCCAACACCUCACGGCACGAGCUGACGACAACCAUGCACCACCUGUCACCGGUGCCCGUAGGGGCCCCCUAUUUCUAGGGGGUUUCACCGGGAUGUCAAACCCUGGUAAGGUUCUUCGCGUAGCAUCGAAUUAAACCACAUGCUCCACUGCUUGUGCGGGCCCCCGUCAAUUCCUUUGAGUUUUAGUCUUGCGACCGUACUUCCCAGGCGGGGUACUUAGUGCGUUAGCGCCGGUUCGGCGGGGGUCAAGACCCACCAAACCUAGUACCCAUCGUUUACAGCGUGGACUAC
This 377-nucleotide unclassified non-coding RNA is filed under the name uncultured bacterium. RNAcentral's name for it is "contains 16S-23S intergenic spacer region". The record is from RNAcentral.